RNAcentral lists this ribosomal RNA (513 nucleotides) under uncultured bacterium. Its description in RNAcentral is "partial 16S ribosomal RNA". It matches the Rfam family "Bacterial small subunit ribosomal RNA", at positions 28 to 523 of the family's 1533-position model. The record is from RNAcentral.
GACGAACGCUGGCGGCAUGCCUAAUACAUGCAAGUCGAGCGAACAGAUGAAGUGCUUGCACUUCUGACGUUAGCGGCGAACGGGUGAGUAACACGUAAGGAAUCUACCUAUAAGCGGGGGAUAACAUUCGGAAACGGGUGCUAAUACCGCAUAAUAUCUUCUUCCGCAUGGAAGAAGAUUGAAAGACGGCUCUGCUGUCACUUAUAGAUGACCUUGCGGUGCAUUAGUUAGUUGGUGGGGUAAUGGCCUACCAAGACGAUGAUGCAUAGCCGACCUGAGAGGGUGAUCGGCCACAUUGGGACUGAGACACGGCCCAAACUCCUACGGGAGGCAGCAGUAGGGAAUCUUCCGCAAUGGGCGAAAGCCUGACGGAGCAAUGCCGCGUGGGUGAAGAAGGCCUUCGGGUCGUAAAACUCUGUUAUAAGAGAAGAACAAAUUGUAGAGUAACUGCUACAGUCUUGACGGUAUCUUAUCAGAAAGCCACGGCUAACUACGUGCCAGCCGCCACGGUAA